AUCCAAACAGGUUUAUAAACUAACAAAAAAUACGUAAAGAACAUAAGACAUGACACAUAUUAAUUCAAUUACAAAGGCUAUGUAGUGUUCUAUAUUACAACAUUUGCAAAAAUUAUAAAGAGCUAAAGGUUAGUUUAUCAGUAAUACAGAAUUCCAAAGUAACAGGCAUCACCUCUUUUUUUUCAGAUUGUCCCUUUGACCACACUAAACACCACCUUUCUUAGAUACUUGCAGUCUAUAAUUAUACCUAUACGUACGUUGUUUUCUGUCAGUCAUGUAUGAUAUGUUGAGUGUUUUUUUUUUUUUAUGUUGUUGUUCUGUUUUUAAAUCUUUCCUCACAAGGCAGUUGUAGUUCAGCUGCUCAGAGUAAGUGUAAAUAAAAUGAAUGGGUUGAAUAUGUGUUUCCAUACUUUGUGUUGGGAGAACUGGAUAUCCCCAUCCAGUAAUUUAUGCACUCUAAAGCAGUGCUGGAUUAUUCCAAAUGAUCAUAAGUAGAAUUGGGAGAAAUAUGGAAGAUCCUCAUAUGAUGGGUCUUAUGCUCUUGACUUGCAACCUUGUACCACAGUAUGAUUCAUAAAAAACACAAAGGUCUUCACCUGCGUAUAGAAUGAGAAAAAAACAUGCAUCAGAUGAAUCAGAAAGACUAUUGGGCCCUAACAUAUACCAACCAUUUGCACUAAGGAAACAAAAUACAAGAAUUGUUAAUGGGGUUCUGAAAAUGCAUCAUCAAUUGUUUGAUUAUUUGAUUAUUUUGUAAAGAAAACAGAAUCAGAAUGUUCAAAGAUGAUUUGCAAACAAAAGAAGAAAACCCAAGGUUCAGCACCUGUCAACAAGUAAUGAAAUGUACCCUGUCCUAUCUGUCCAUCUGUUCUCCUCCCGGUGACCUCAGCUGAUGAAAGUAAAAAUUCUGUAGUAUGUAAGAUCUAUGACGUCAUAGAUCAUUGGUCAUCCUCUUUCCCAUCUGCAUAGUCUUAUUUAGCUAUAGUGACAUGGAAAGCUUCCAUAGUAUGCAUAAUCUGGGCAAAAUACAAAUGCUUUACCUAAGAAAACACACAAGCAUAAGUAAGGAAUCUGGGCUUGUAAAGUGUCACAGCAAAAUGUCAUUGGUCUUAAAGCUAGCUGAGUGUUCCUGCUGCUGGACACUGGCGGAAUCUCAGCAAAGGCAAAGAUUCUGAGAGCCGUGAUAAGAUAAAGUUUGGAAAAACAUCUGAACAAGUGGUAGUUUGGGUAAACAACAGGAGACAAUUAUCAGAUUUCAGCCUACUUCUUUUGUAUGAGCAUUCAAUAGUGCUCAUAGCAAAUAAAAAGCAGUUGGUUCCAGCA
Numida meleagris (helmeted guineafowl) is the source of this 1323-nucleotide long non-coding RNA. The record is from Ensembl. NCBI's taxonomy places the organism in Eukaryota, Metazoa, Chordata, Aves, Galliformes, Numididae.